RNAcentral lists this ribosomal RNA (486 nucleotides) under uncultured bacterium. Its description in RNAcentral is "partial 16S ribosomal RNA". It matches the Rfam family "Bacterial small subunit ribosomal RNA", at positions 30 to 507 of the family's 1533-position model. The record is from RNAcentral.
AUUGAACGCUGGCGGCAUGCCUUACACAUGCAAGUCGAACGGCAGCACGGGUGCUUGCACCUGGUGGCGAGUGGCGAACGGGUGAGUAAUACAUCGGAACAUGUCCUUUAGUGGGGGAUAGCCCGGCGAAAGCCGGAUUAAUACCGCAUACGAUCCACGGAUGAAAGCGGGGGACCUUCGGGCCUCGCGCUAUAGGGUUGGCCGAUGGCUGAUUAGCUAGUUGGUGGGGUAAAGGCCUACCAAGGCGACGAUCAGUAGCUGGUCUGAGAGGACGACCAGCCACACUGGGACUGAGACACGGCCCAGACUCCUACGGGAGGCAGCAGUGGGGAAUUUUGGACAAUGGGCGAAAGCCUGAUCCAGCAAUGCCGCGUGUGUGAAGAAGGCCUUCGGGUUGUAAAGCACUUUUGUCCGGAAAGAAAUCCUUGGCUCUAAUACAGUCGGGGGAUGACGGUACCGGAAGAAUAAGCACCGGCUAACUACGUG